UGGGGAAUAUUGGACAAUGGGCGCAAGCCUGAUCCAGCCAUGCCGCGUGUGUGAAGAAGGCCUUUUGGUUGUAAAGCACUUUAAGCGAGGAGGAGGCUACUUGGAUUAAUACUCUAGGAUAGUGGACGUUACUCGCAGAAUAAGCACCGGCUAACUCUGUGCCAGCAGCCGCGGUAAUACAGAGGGUGCGAGCGUUAAUCGGAUUUACUGGGCGUAAAGCGUGCGUAGGCGGCUUUUUAAGUCGGAUGUGAAAUCCCUGAGCUUAACUUAGGAAUUGCAUUCGAUACUGGGAAGCUAGAGUAUGGGAGAGGAUGGUAGACUUCCAGGUGUAGCGGUGAAAUGCGUAGAGAUCUGGAGGAAUACCGAUGGCGAAGGCAGCCAUCUGGCCUAAUACUGACGCUGAGGUACGAAAGCAUGGGCAGCAAACAGG
Molecule: ribosomal RNA, 430 nt
Filed under: Bacillota bacterium
Lineage: Bacteria; Bacillati; Bacillota
Description: Firmicutes bacterium partial 16S ribosomal RNA
Rfam family: Bacterial small subunit ribosomal RNA
Source: RNAcentral